RNAcentral lists this ribosomal RNA (459 nucleotides) under uncultured bacterium. RNAcentral's name for it is "partial 16S ribosomal RNA". It matches the Rfam family "Bacterial small subunit ribosomal RNA", at positions 338 to 795 of the family's 1533-position model. The record is from RNAcentral.
CCUACGGGAGGCUGCAGUGAGGAAUAUUGGUCAAUGGACGCAAGCCUGAACCAGCCAAGUAGCGUGCAGGAUGACGGCCCUACGGGUUGUAAACUUCUUUUAUCGGGGAGUAAAAGACGGCACGUGUGCCGUUUCGAGUGUAUACGAACAAAAAGCAUCGGCUAACUCGGGGCCCGAGGCCGCGGUAAUACGGAGGAUGCGAGCGUUAUACGGAUUUAUAGGGUUUAAAGGGUGCGCAGACGGAAGAUAAAGACAGUGGUAAAAUUGUGAGGCUCAACCUCUUAGAGCCGUUGAAACUGGUGUUCUUGAGUGAGCGAGAGGUAUGCGGAAUGCGUGGUGUAGCGGUGAAAUGCAUAGAUAUCACGCAGAACUCCGAUUGCGAAGGCAGCUUACCGGCGCUCAACUGACGCUCAUGCACGAAAGUGUGGGUAUCGAACAGGAUUAGAUACCCGUGUAGUC